GAUGAACGCUGGCGGCGUGGAUAAGGCAUGCAAGUCAAACGGUAAGGCCCUUCGGGGUACACGAGUGGCGAACGGGUGAGUAACACGUGGGUGAUCUGCCCUGCACUUCGGGAUAAGCCUGGGAAACUGGGUCUAAUACCGGAUAGAACCACUGCCUGCAUGGGUGGUGGUGGAAAGCUUUUGCGGUGUGGGAUGGGCCCGCGGCCUAUCAGCUUGUUGGUGGGGUGAUGGCCUACCAAGGCGACGACGGGUAGCCGGCCUGAGAGGGUGACCGGCCACACUGGGACUGAGAUACGGCCCAGACUCCUACGGGAGGCAGCAGUGGGGAAUAUUGCACAAUGGGCGCAAGCCUGAUGCAGCGACGCCGCGUGAGGGAUGACGGCCUUCGGGUUGUAAACCUCUUUCAGCACCGACGAAGCGCAAGUGACGGUAGGUGCAGAAGAAGGACCGGCCAACUACGUGCCAGCCGCCGCAGUAA
This 478-nucleotide ribosomal RNA is filed under the name uncultured bacterium. Its description in RNAcentral is "partial 16S ribosomal RNA". It matches the Rfam family "Bacterial small subunit ribosomal RNA", at positions 28 to 523 of the family's 1533-position model. The record is from RNAcentral.